AGGGAUUCAUUACCGAGUUUACAACUCCCAAACCCAAUGUGAACGUUACCAAACUGUUGCCUCGGCGGGAUCUCUGCCCCGGGUGCGUCGCAGCCCCGGACCAAGGCGCCCGCCGGAGGACCAACCAAAACUCUUUUUGUAUACCCCCUCGCGGGUUUUUUAUACUCUGAGCCUUCUCGGCGCCUCUCGUAGGCGUUUCGAAAAUGAAUCAAAACUUUCAACAACGGAUCUCUUGGUUCUGGCAUCGAUGAAGAACGCAGCGAAAUGCGAUAAGUAAUGUGAAUUGCAGAAUUCAGUGAAUCAUCGAAUCUUUGAACGCACAUUGCGCCCGCCAGUAUUCUGGCGGGCAUGCCUGUCCGAGCGUCAUUUCAACCCUCGAACCCCUCCGGGGGGUCGGCGUUGGGGAUCGGCCCUGCCUCUUGGCGGUGGCCGUCUCCGAAAUACAGUGGCGGUCUCGCCGCAGCCUCUCCUGCGCAGUAGUUUGCACACUCGCAUCGGGAGCGCGGCGCGUCCACAGCCGUUAAACACCCAACUUCUGAAAUGUUGACCUCGGAUCAGGUAGGAAUACCCGCUGAACUUAAAGGGAUUCAUUACCGWGUUUACAACUCCCAAACCCAAUGUGAACGUUACCAAACUGUUGCCUCGGCGGGAUCUCUGCCCCGGGUGCGUCGCAGCCCCGGACCAAGGCGCCCGCCGGAGGACCAACCAAAACUCUUUUUGUAUACCCCCUCGCGGGUUUUUUAUACUCUGAGCCUUCUCGGCGCCUCUCGUAGGCGUUUCGAAAAUGAAUCAAAACUUUCAACAACGGAUCUCUUGGUUCUGGCAUCGAUGAAGAACGCAGCGAAAUGCGAUAAGUAAUGUGAAUUGCAGAAUUCAGUGAAUCAUCGAAUCUUUGAACGCACAUUGCGCCCGCCAGUAUUCUGGCGGGCAUGCCUGUCCGAGCGUCAUUUCAACCCUCGAACCCCUCCGGGGGGUCGGCGUUGGGGAUCGGCCCUGCCUCUUGGCGGUGGCCGUCUCCGAAAUACAGUGGCGGUCUCGCCGCAGCCUCUCCUGCGCAGUAGUUUGCACACUCGCAUCGGGAGCGCGGCGCGUCCACAGCCGUUAAACACCCAACUUCUGAAAUGUUGACCUCGGAUCAGGUAGGAAUACCCGCUGAACUUAA
This 1162-nucleotide small RNA is filed under the name Trichoderma sp. Oh_1_5. RNAcentral describes it as "eukaryotic LSU rRNA". The stretch from base 213 to 366 matches the Rfam family "5.8S ribosomal RNA". The record is from RNAcentral. Lineage: Eukaryota; Fungi; Ascomycota; Sordariomycetes; Hypocreales; Hypocreaceae.